GCCCAUGUCACAAGACAGGUAGAAAGCAUUUUGCCCAAGUGCGAUAUGAGAUGGAAAAAGCUGGAGAACCAGUUGAUAAGUUUAGUGUCUGGAAGAGAACACGUGACUUAAAUGAUCACCUUGUGCAAGAGUUCAUUAAAUCAUAUGAGGAGAAACUUAGAAAGGAGUCGGAGGAGGAUCAGAACUUGACUAGUGUUAAAGAUCGAAUUUUCCACUAUUUGAUGGGAGAUGAUGGUCAUGGGUAUUGUCGUACUUUUGGAGCUGGUGUGCCUCGUAAUCUAGUAUAUCCAAAGGAAUCAAAUAUAUCUCAAAGCACAGAUGAUCUCGUACAAAAAAUCACUGAACAAGUGCGUCAAGAGUUUCAACUGCAGCUUCAGCAACUACAUGCUUGAAUUGAUUUUCUGCAGAAUAAGGACAGUAGCACAGAGACUCCUAGACAGGUUGCUGAUGCAACUAGCGGGCAUGAAAUUUUGAGGGAGUCUAUAGGAGAUGCAAUAACUCCGAAUGCAAAUAGUGACCAGCCAUUGUUGGAGCAGAAUUCUCUAGUAACAUCCCCUUCACAAAAUGGAUCUGAAAGGGUUCUCAUGGCAAAAAGAGCAAAGCAAAUGAAAGCAAGUGCAAAGCUCACAAAAUGACAAAGUAAAAUGAUGCACUUGUAAUUGUUGUUUUAUUUUAAGAGUGCUUAUUAUAAUGUUCAAUACUU
Long non-coding RNA from Rosa chinensis, 703 nucleotides. RefSeq lists it as uncharacterized. The record is from RefSeq and is a predicted model, not a curated record. NCBI's taxonomy places the organism in Eukaryota, Viridiplantae, Streptophyta, Magnoliopsida, Rosales, Rosaceae. The transcript has 5 exons.